This 253-nucleotide ribosomal RNA is filed under the name uncultured bacterium. RNAcentral's name for it is "partial 16S ribosomal RNA". It matches the Rfam family "Bacterial small subunit ribosomal RNA", at positions 524 to 776 of the family's 1533-position model. The record is from RNAcentral.
UACGGAGGGUGCAAGCGUUGCUCGGAAUUAUUGGGCGUAAAGGGUAGGUAGGUGGUCUCGUUUGUCUGAGGUGAAAGCCUUGAGCUUAACUCAAGAAGUGCCUCAGAAACGGCGAGACUAGAGUCUUGGAGAGGGUCGUGGAAUUCCCGGUGUAGCGGUGAAAUGCGUAGAGAUCCGGAAGAACACCGGUGGCGAAGGCGGUCUGCUGGGCAGUUGCUGACACUGAGGCGCGACAGCGUGGGGAGCAAACAGG